AUUGAACGCUGGCGGCAGGCCUAACACAUGCAAGUCGAGCGGAUGAAGGGAGCUUGCUCCUGGAUUCAGCGGCGGACGGGUGAGUAAUGCCUAGGAAUCUGCCUGGUAGUGGGGGAUAACGUCCGGAAACGGGCGCUAAUACCGCAUACGUCCUGAGGGAGAAAGUGGGGGAUCUUCGGACCUCACGCUAUCAGAUGAGCCUAGGUCGGAUUAGCUAGUUGGUGGGGUAAAGGCCUACCAAGGCGACGAUCCGUAACUGGUCUGAGAGGAUGAUCAGUCACACUGGAACUGAGACACGGUCCAGACUCCUACGGGAGGCAGCAGUGGGGAAUAUUGUACAAUGGGCGAAAGCCUGAUCCAGCCAUGCCGCGUGUGUGAAGAAGGUCUUCGGAUUGUAAAGCACUUUAAGUUGGGAGGAAGGGCAGUAAGUUUAUACCUUGCUGUUUUGACGUUACCAACAGAAUAAGCACCGGCUAACUUCGUG
RNAcentral lists this ribosomal RNA (484 nucleotides) under uncultured bacterium. RNAcentral describes it as "partial 16S ribosomal RNA". It matches the Rfam family "Bacterial small subunit ribosomal RNA", at positions 30 to 507 of the family's 1533-position model. The record is from RNAcentral.